CACCGCGGUUAUACGAGGGGCCCAAGUUGAUAGAAUCCGGCGUAAAGAGUGGUUAAUAAACAAAAAACUAAAGCCGAACACCUUCAAAACUGUUAUACGUACUUGAAGACAGGAAGAUCUAUAACGAAAGUGGCUUUAAUCAAUAUGAACCCACGAAAGCUAGGGAA
RNAcentral lists this ribosomal RNA (167 nucleotides) under Amoya signata (tusk goby). RNAcentral's name for it is "partial 12S rRNA". Lineage: Eukaryota; Metazoa; Chordata; Actinopteri; Gobiiformes; Gobiidae. RNAcentral also lists the same sequence under 1 other name. The record is from RNAcentral.